This 552-nucleotide ribosomal RNA is filed under the name uncultured bacterium. RNAcentral describes it as "bacterial SSU rRNA". It matches the Rfam family "Bacterial small subunit ribosomal RNA", at positions 839 to 1390 of the family's 1533-position model. The record is from RNAcentral.
UUCUGUGCCGGAGUUAACGCAAUAAGUACCCCGCCUGGGGAGUACGACCGCAAGGUUGAAACUCAAAGGAAUUGACGGGGGCCCGCACAAGCGGUGGAGUAUGUGGUUUAAUUCGACGCAACGCGAAGAACCUUACCAGGUCUUGACAUUGAUGGACAGAACCAGAGAUGGUUCCUCUUCUUCGGAAGCCAGAAAACAGGUGGUGCACGGUUGUCGUCAGCUCGUGUCGUGAGAUGUUGGGUUAAGUCCCGCAACGAGCGCAACCCCUAUCUUAUGUUGCCAGCACUUCGGGUGGGAACUCAUGAGAGACUGCCGCAGACAAUGCGGAGGAAGGCGGGGAUGACGUCAAAUCAUCAUGCCCCUUAUGACCUGGGCUACACACGUACUACAAUGGGAGUUAAUAGACGGAAGCGAGAUCGCGAGAUGGAGCAAACCCGAGAAACACUCUCUCAGUUCGGAUCGUAGGCUGCAACUCGCCUACGUGAAGUCGGAAUCGCUAGUAAUCGCAGGUCAGCAUACUGCGGUGAAUACGUUCCCGGGCCUUGUACACAC